RNAcentral lists this ribosomal RNA (465 nucleotides) under Vreelandella stevensii. RNAcentral's name for it is "partial 16S ribosomal RNA". It matches the Rfam family "Bacterial small subunit ribosomal RNA", at positions 338 to 795 of the family's 1533-position model. Lineage: Bacteria; Pseudomonadati; Pseudomonadota; Gammaproteobacteria; Oceanospirillales; Halomonadaceae. The record is from RNAcentral.
CCUACGGGCGGCAGCAGUGGGGAAUAUUGGACAAUGGGGGGAACCCUGAUCCAGCCAUGCCGCGUGUGUGAAGAAGGCCCUCGGGUUGUAAAGCACUUUCAGUGAGGAAGAACGCCUGGUGGUUAAUACCCAUCAGGAAAGACAUCACUCACAGAAGAAGCACCGGCUAACUCCGUGCCAGCAGCCGCGGUAAUACGGAGGGUGCGAGCGUUAAUCGGAAUUACUGGGCGUAAAGCGCGCGUAGGUGGCUUGAUAAGCCGGUUGUGAAAGCCCCGGGCUCAACCUGGGAACGGCAUCCGGAACUGUCAAGCUAGAGUGCAGGAGAGGAAGGUAGAAUUCCCGGUGUAGCGGUGAAAUGCGUAGAGAUCGGGAGGAAUACCAGUGGCGAAGGCGGCCUUCUGGACUGACACUGACACUGAGGUGCGAAAGCGUGGGUAGUAAACAGGAUUAGAUACCCCUGUAGUC